RNAcentral lists this non-coding RNA (303 nucleotides) under Ixodes scapularis (black-legged tick). RNAcentral describes it as "Eukaryotic large subunit ribosomal RNA". It matches the Rfam family "Eukaryotic large subunit ribosomal RNA", at positions 2050 to 2310 of the family's 3401-position model. Lineage: Eukaryota; Metazoa; Arthropoda; Arachnida; Ixodida; Ixodidae. The record is from Rfam by way of RNAcentral.
GGCGUCUGAGGGCUUCGUGCCCAAAGUGCUAUGCUUCGGCCGGCAAAAAACAGUCAACUCAGAACUGGCACGGACCGGGGGAAUCCGACUGUCUAAUUAAAACAAAGCAUUGCGAUGGCCGCUGGUCGGUGUUGACGCAAUGUGAUUUCUGCCCAGUGCUCUGAAUGUCAACGUGAAGAGAUUCAUCAAAGCGCGGGUAAACGGCGGGAGUAACUAUGACUCUCUUGUUUCCUAUGGUUUGCAUGCCUUGGAUUCGGGGUGAGAGCAGAUAGUUGCUUGCCAAGCGCAAAGUCUAACUCCCAC